Molecule: ribosomal RNA, 468 nt
Filed under: uncultured bacterium
Lineage: Bacteria
Description: partial 16S ribosomal RNA
Rfam family: Bacterial small subunit ribosomal RNA
Source: RNAcentral
GACGAACGCUGGCGGCGUGCCUAACACAUGCAAGUCGAACGGAAAGGCCAUGCUGUUGUGGGGUUCUCUAGUGGCGAACGGGUGAGUAACACGUGAGUAACCUGCCCUUGACUGGGGGAUAACUUCUGGAGACUGGGGCUAAUACUACAUAGGAGCUUCUGAUGCAUGGUGGGGGUGGGAAAGUUUCGGCGUUUGGGGAUGUACUCGCGGCUUAUCAGCUUGAUGGUGGGGUAGUGGCUUUCCCAGGCUUUGACGGGUAGCCGGCCUGAGAGGGUGAACGGCCACCUUGGGCCUGCGAUAGGCCCCAGACUCCUACGUGAGGCAGCAGUGGGGAACAUUGCGCAGCGGGCGGACGCGUGAUACAGAAACGCCGGGUUCGGGAUGACGGCCUUCGGGUUGUAAACCGAUUUCGCCUGUGACGAAGCCUGAGUGACGGUAAUGGGUAAAGAAGCACCGGCUAACUCCGUG